UACGAAGGGGGCUAGCGUUGCUCGGAAUUACUGGGCGUAAAGGGAGCGUAGGUGGACAGUUUAGUCAGAGGUGAAAGCCCAGGGCUCAACCUUGGAAUUGCCUUUGAUACUGGCUGUCUUGAGUACGGAAGAGGUAUGUGGAACUCCGAGUGUAGAGGUGAAAUUCGUAGAUAUUCGGAAGAACACCAGUGGCGAAGGCGACAUACUGGUCCGUUACUGACACUGAGGCUCGAAAGCGUGGGGAGCAAACAGGG
Molecule: ribosomal RNA, 254 nt
Filed under: uncultured bacterium
Lineage: Bacteria
Description: partial 16S ribosomal RNA
Rfam family: Bacterial small subunit ribosomal RNA
Source: RNAcentral